CGUUAUCCGGAAUCAUUGGGCGUAAAGCGCCUGUAGGUUGUUAAAAAAGUCUGUUGUUAAAGACUAGGGCUCAACCCUAGAAAAGCAAUGGAAACUAAUAGACUAGAGUAUGGCAGGGGUAGAGGGAAUUUCUAGUGUAGCGGUGAAAUGCGUAGAUAUUAGAAAGAACACCGGUGGCGAAAGCGCUCUACUGGACCAUUACUGACACUCAGAGGCGAAAGCUAGGGUAGCAAAAGGGAUUAGAUACCCCUGUAGUCCUAGCCGUAAACGAUGGAUACUAGAUGUUGUGCAUUAUGUACAGUAUCGUAGCUAACGCGUUAAGUAUCCCGCCUGGGGAGUACGCUCGCAAGGGUGAAACUCAAAGGAAUUGACGGGGGCCCGCACAAGCGGUGGAGCAUGUGGUUUAAUUCGAUGCAACGCGAAGAACCUUACCAGGGCUUGACAUACUACGAAUUCUUUUGAAAGAGAGAAGUGCCUUCGGGAAUGUAGAUACAGGUGGUGCAUGGCUGUCGUCAGCUCGUGUCGUGAGAUGUUGGGUUAAGUCCCGCAACGAGCGCAACCCUUAUUUUUAGUUACUAAUUCGUUAGGUUCUCUAGAAAGACUGCCGGUGACAAACCGGAGGAAGGUGAGGAUGACGUCAAGUCAGCAUGCCCCUUAUGUCCUGGGCUACACACGUGCUACAAUGGUUAAGACAAAGAG
Molecule: ribosomal RNA, 699 nt
Filed under: uncultured marine haptophyte
Lineage: Eukaryota; Haptophyta
Description: bacterial SSU rRNA
Rfam family: Bacterial small subunit ribosomal RNA
Source: RNAcentral